Molecule: ribosomal RNA, 251 nt
Filed under: uncultured prokaryote
Description: partial 16S rRNA
Rfam family: Bacterial small subunit ribosomal RNA
Source: RNAcentral
ACGGGGGGUGCAAGCGUUAUUCGGAAUUACUGGGCGUAAAGCGCGCGCAGGUGGUUCGAUAAGUUUCAAGUGAAAUCCCUCAGCUUAACCGUAGAACUGCCUUGAAAACUGUUGAGCUUGAAUGUGGGAGAGGAGGAUGGAAUUUCUGGUGUAGCGGUGAAAUGCGUAGAUAUCAGGAGGAAUACCGAUGGCGAAGGCGAUCUUCUGGAACAUUUCUGACGCUGAUACGCGAAAGCGUGGGUAGCAAACAG